This 253-nucleotide ribosomal RNA is filed under the name uncultured bacterium. RNAcentral's name for it is "partial 16S ribosomal RNA". It matches the Rfam family "Bacterial small subunit ribosomal RNA", at positions 524 to 776 of the family's 1533-position model. The record is from RNAcentral.
UACGUAGGUGGCAAGCGUUGUCCGGAUUUACUGGGCGUAAAGAGCGCGCAGGCGGUCGGAUAAGUCGAAUGUGAAAGCCCCCGGCUCAACUGGGGAGGGUCAUUCGAUACUGUUCGACUCGAAGGCAGGAGAGGGAAGUGGAAUUCCUGGUGUAGCGGUGAAAUGCGCAGAUAUCAGGAGGAACACCAAUUGCGAAGGCAGCUCGCUGGGACGUUACUGACGCUGAGACGCGAAAGCGUGGGGAGCAAACAGG